UUUGGUAUCUCUACUAACUGUCCCACUAAAGUCCUGAGUUUUACCUCUUAGUAACUAGUGGCAAGGGUUGCGCUCGUUGCGUCACUUAAGACAACAUCUCACGACACGAGCUGACGACAGCCAUGCAGCACCUGUGUCUAGGCUCCCUUACGGGCACUCUCAUAUUUCUACAAGAUCCCUAGCAUGUCAAGAGCAGGUAAGGUUUUUCGCGUUGCAUCGAAUUAAUCCACAUCAUCCACCGCUUGUGCGGGUCCCCGUCAAUUCCUUUGAGUUUUAAUCUUGCGACCGUACUCCCCAGGCGGUCUACUUCUCGCGUUUGCUUAGCUACUUGGUAAUCUCUUACCCAACAGCUAGUAGACAUCGUUUAGGGCGUGGACUAC
This 380-nucleotide unclassified non-coding RNA is filed under the name uncultured Gammaproteobacteria bacterium. Its description in RNAcentral is "contains 16S-23S intergenic spacer region". Lineage: Bacteria; Pseudomonadati; Pseudomonadota; Gammaproteobacteria. The record is from RNAcentral.